AUGGAGGGGGCUGUGGAGGCCGGGGAGAGAGCAGCUCGAGAGAUCCUGCAUGCCAUGGGGAAGAUUCCAGAGGAUGAAAUCUGGCAGUCAGAACCGGAGUCUGUGGUAAGUUAUAUUUUAUUUCAUGAAUUUAAAUCUCUUUCAUCUAAAAACAAUUAUUUUCAAAAAGAACACACUUGUAUAUAUUUACAUACCUUUCCCAGUGUGAUUCAAUCCUUGAAUGCUUAA
This 228-nucleotide long non-coding RNA is filed under the name Dasypus novemcinctus (nine-banded armadillo). RNAcentral's name for it is "lncRNA (ENSDNOG00000050058.1)". Lineage: Eukaryota; Metazoa; Chordata; Mammalia; Cingulata; Dasypodidae. The record is from RNAcentral.